UUUCUCAAUGGGGGAAACCCUGAAGGAGCGACGCCGCGUGGAGGAUGAAGGUCUUCGGGUUGUAAACUCCUGUAAUUUGGGAACAAUGCUUACGUAUUAACUGUACGUGAGUUGAUAGUACCAGAAGAAGAAGAAACGGCUAACUCUGUGCCAGCAGCCGCGGUAAUACAAAAGUCUCAAGCGUUGUUCGGAUUCAUUGGGCGUAAAGGGUGUGUAGGUGGCGCGCUAAGUCGGGUGUGAAAUUUCGGAGCUUAACUCCGAAACUGCAUUCGGAUACUGGCGUGCUUGAAGACUGGAGAGGAGCCUGGAAUUCAUGGUGUAGCAGUGAAAUGCGUAGAGAUCAUGAGGAAGACCAGUGGCGAAGGCGGGUCUCUGGACAGUUCCUGACACUGAGACACGAAGGCCAGGGGAGCAAACGGGAUUAGAUACCCCGGUAGUCCUGGCAGUAAACGGUGCACGUUUGGUGUGGGAGGAUUCGACCCCUUCUGCGCCGGACUAACGCGUUAAACGUGCCGCCUGGGGAGUACGGUCGCAAGAUUAAAAUUUAAAGAAAUUUACGGGGGCCCGCACAAGCGGUGGAGUAUGUGGCUUAAUUCGAUGCAACGCGAAGAACCUUACCUGGCCUUGACAUGCAUCUCUAAGCUGGUGAAAGCCAGUGACUCCCGAAAGGGAGWAUUUGCACAGGUGCUGCAUGGCUGUCGUCAGCUCGUGUCGUGAGAUGUUGGGUUAAGUCCCGCAACGAGUGCAACCCCUGUGAAUUGUUGCCACCAAGCCGUGAGGUUUGAGCACUCUGUUCAGACUGCCCUUUGAAACGGGGAGGAAGGUGGGGACGACGUCAAUUCAGUAUGGCCCUACGGCCAGGGCUGCACACGUACUACAAUGCCCAGUACAGAACGAUCCAAGACCGCGAGGUGGAGGAAAUCCAGUAAAACUGGGCUCAGUUCGGAUUGGAGUCUGCAACUCGACUCCAUGAAGCCGGAAUCGCU
RNAcentral lists this ribosomal RNA (986 nucleotides) under uncultured Verrucomicrobiota bacterium. Its description in RNAcentral is "bacterial SSU rRNA". It matches the Rfam family "Bacterial small subunit ribosomal RNA", at positions 364 to 1336 of the family's 1533-position model. Lineage: Bacteria; Pseudomonadati; Verrucomicrobiota. The record is from RNAcentral.